GUAGUUAGGUGUGAAUUUUCGAGACCUCUGGCACCGUUCUAAGAUGGGUCCUCUCUUCGUAGGCUAAUGCGUUGGCCCUUUUUGACCCGUUUUGGGGCGAAAACAAAAACUGACUCCCGGGCAUAUUUUUUCGGCCUUUAUGGGCAAAGAACUUUAAUGCCGCUCAGAAUGAGGCCACCCAGUAGUUAGGUGUGAAUUUUUGAGACCUCUGGCACCGUUCUAAGAUGGGUCCUCUCUUCGUAGGCUAAUGCAUUGGCCCUUUUUGACCCGUUUUGGGGCGAAAACAAAAACUGACUCCCGGGCAUAUUUUUUUCGGCCUUUAUGGGCAAAGAACUUUAAUGCCGCUCAGAAUGAGGCCACCCAGUAGUUAGGUGUGAAUUUUCGAGACCUCUGCACGUUCUAAGAUGGGUCCUCUCUUCGUAGGCUAAUGCGUUGGCCCUUUUUGACCCGUUUUGGAACGAAAACAAAAACUGACUCCCGGGCAUAUUUUUUUCGGCCUUUAUGGGCAAAGAACUUUAAUGCCGCUCAGAAUGAGGCCACCCAGUAGUUAGGUGUGAAUUUUCGAGACCUCUGGCACCGUUCUAAGAUGGGUCCUCUCUUCGUAGGCUAAUGCGUUGGCCCUUUUUGACCCGUUUUGGGCGAAAACAAAAACGGACUCCCGGGCAUAUUUUUUUCGGCUUUUAUGGGCAAAGAACUUUAAUGCCGCUCAGAAUGAGGCCACCCAGUAGUUAGGUGUGAAUUUUCGAGACCUCUGGCACCGUUCUAAGAUGGGUCCUCUCUUCGUAGGUUAAUGCGUUGGCCCUUUUUGACCCGUUUUGGAACGAAAACAAAAACUGACUCCGCGGCAUAUUUUUUUCGGCCUUUAUGGGCAAAGAACUUUAAUGCCGCUCAGAAUGAGGCCACCCAGUAGUUAGGUGUGAAUUUUCGAGACCUCUGGCACCGUUCUAAGAUGGGUCCUCUCUUCGUAGGCUAAUGCGUUGGCCCUUUUUGACCCGUUUUGGGGCGAAAACAAAAACUGACUCCGGGCAUAUUUUUUUCGGCCUUUAUGGGCAAAGAACUUUAAUGCCGCUCAGAAUGAGGCCACCCAGUAGUUAGGUGUGAAUUUUCGAGACCUCUGGCACCGUUCUAUGAUGGGUCCUCUCUUCGUAGGCUAAUGCAUUGGCCCGUUUUGGGGCCAAAACAAAAACUGACUCCCGGCAUACUUUUUUCGGCCUUUAUGGGCAAGAACUUUAAUGCCGCUCAGAAUGAGGCCACCAGUAGUUAGGUGUGAAUUUUCGAGACCUCUGGCACCGUUCUAAGAUGGGUCCUCUCUUCGUAGGCUAAUGCAUUGGCCCUUUUCGACCCGUUUUGGGGCGAAAACAAAAACUGACUCCCGGGCAUAUUUUUUUCGGCCUUUAUGGGCAAAGAACUUUAAUGCCGCUCAGAAUGAGGCCACCCAGUAGUUAGGUGUGAAUUUUCGAGACCUCUGGCACCGUUCUAAGAUGGGUCCUCUCUUUCUAGGCUAAUGCAUUGGCCCUUUUCGACCCGUUUUUGGGCGAAAACAAAAACUGACUCCCGGGCAUAUCUUUUUCGGCCUUGAUGGGCAAAGAACUUUAAUGCCGCUCAGAAUGAGGCCACCCAGUAGUUAGGUGUGAAUUUUCGAGACCUCUGGCACCGUUCUAAGAUGGGUCCUCUCUUCGUAGGCUAAUGCGUUGGCCUUUUU
Molecule: long non-coding RNA, 1702 nt
Filed under: Cucumis sativus (cucumber)
Lineage: Eukaryota; Viridiplantae; Streptophyta; Magnoliopsida; Cucurbitales; Cucurbitaceae
Description: long non-coding RNA (CSAT_LNC000466)
Source: RNAcentral